AGAUUGAACGCUGGCGGCAGGCCUAACACAUGCAAGUCGAGCGGUAGAGAGGUGCUUGCAUCUCUUGAGAGCGGCGGACGGGUGAGUAAUGCCUAGGAAUCUGCCUAGUGGUGGGGGAUAACGUUCGGAAACGGACGCUAAUACCGCAUACGUCCUACGGGAGAAAGCGGGGGACCUUCGGGCCUCGCGCCAUUAGAUGAGCCUAGGUCGGAUUAGCUAGUUGGUGAGGUAAUGGCUCACCGAGGCGACGAUCCGUAACUGGUCUGAGAGGAUGACCAGUCACA
Molecule: ribosomal RNA, 284 nt
Filed under: uncultured soil bacterium
Lineage: Bacteria
Description: partial 16S ribosomal RNA
Rfam family: Bacterial small subunit ribosomal RNA
Source: RNAcentral